UCGGGAAUAUUGGACAAUGGGCGAAAGCCUGAUCCAGCAACGCCGCGUGCGGGACGAAGGCCCUCGGGUCGUAAACCGCUGUCAGGAGGGGAGGAACGGUGCGUGGUUAAGAGCUGCGUACUUUGACAGUACCUCCAGAGGAAGCCCCGGCUAACUCCGUGCCAGCAGCCGCGGUAAAUACGGAGGGGGCGAGCGUUAUUCGGAAUUAUUGGGCGUAAAGGGCGCGUAGGCGGCCCGAUAAGUCCAAGGUGAAAAGCCCUCGGCUCAAACCGAGGAACUGCCUUGGAUACUGUCGGGCUCGAGGCUGGAAGAGGGUGAUGGAAUUCCCGGUGUAGCGGUGAAAUGCGUAGAGAUGUGGAGGAACACCAGUGGCGAAGGCGGCUUCCUGGACCAGUACUGACGCUGAGGCGCGAAAAGCGU
This 420-nucleotide ribosomal RNA is filed under the name uncultured bacterium. RNAcentral describes it as "bacterial SSU rRNA". It matches the Rfam family "Bacterial small subunit ribosomal RNA", at positions 355 to 762 of the family's 1533-position model. The record is from RNAcentral.